GGUCUCGGACAGUGUCUGGUGGGUAGUUUGACUGGGGCGGUCUCCUCCCAAAGCGUAACGGAGGAGCACGAAGGUUUGCUAAUCACGGUCGGACAUCGUGAGGUUAGUGCAAUGGUAUAAGCAAGCUUAACUGCGAGACAGACAAGUCGAGCAGGUGCGAAAGCAGGUCAUAGUGAUCCGGUGGUUCUGAAUGGAAGGGCCAUCGCUCAACGGAUAAAAGGUACUCCGGGGAUAACAGGCUGAUACCGCCCAAGAGUUCAUAUCGACGGCGGUGUUUGGCACCUCGAUGUCGGCUCAUCACAUCCUGGGGCUGAAGUAGGUCCCAAGGGUAUGGCUGUUCGCCAUUUAAAGUGGUACGCGAGCUGGGUUUAGAACGUCGUGAGACAGUUCGGUCCCUAUCUGCCGUGGGCGUUGGAGAAUUGAGAGGGGCUGCUCCUAGUACGAGAGGACCGGAGUGGACGCAUCACUGGUGUACCAGUUGUCUCGCCAGAGGCA
RNAcentral lists this ribosomal RNA (495 nucleotides) under Glaesserella parasuis. Its description in RNAcentral is "partial 23S ribosomal RNA". It matches the Rfam family "Bacterial large subunit ribosomal RNA", at positions 2243 to 2737 of the family's 2925-position model. Lineage: Bacteria; Pseudomonadati; Pseudomonadota; Gammaproteobacteria; Pasteurellales; Pasteurellaceae. The record is from RNAcentral.